Long non-coding RNA from Fukomys damarensis (Damara mole-rat), 2243 nucleotides. RefSeq lists it as uncharacterized. The record is from RefSeq and is a predicted model, not a curated record. The transcript has 3 exons. Lineage: Eukaryota; Metazoa; Chordata; Mammalia; Rodentia; Bathyergidae.
AGCUGGGGGCAGGGCGAGAGGGCGGGAGAGCGAGGGACAGGGAUGGACGGGCCGUGAGACGGGUAGCAGCGGUGUGGGCGGCGACAGAGAGGCUCCCGGAGAGCAGGGAGACACCCUUAACGCAACAAGAAGUCCCUGGGAAGGAGGACUGGGACAGGAGACAGGCUUCUGGGGGAGGGGCGCAGGAUUGGGGUGCUGAGGACCAGGCCAGGGUCUGAGUAUGCCGCACCCAGCCCCGCUCGCGGCUGAAGCCCAGUAAACACCCAAAGCUCUGUUCUGAGGAGCUCUCCCUGGUGUGGUCCCCGGGUGCAGGGACACCUAUCCUUAGGUGCCUGUCCACCUGGCUCUGUCUGCAGCAGAUCCAGCCCAGAGCCAGCCUCCCUUGGAAGUCCCCUGAAGAGCCUUUUCCUUCCAGCUCCCUCAGGCAGGGAAUGCUCAAAGCCCCUCUCAGAGCUUCUGUCCAUUCGCAGGCAGAUGUACGAUGAAGAGGACCAGAGCCCAGCCCUGACCCGGCGCCUGCCGGGCUGAGCAGCCCUGCUCCUAUGCCUUGAGGGUACUGCAGAUUAGACUCACUAAAGUGGGCGGAAAAGGUGGAAGCCAUGUGACGUGAAGACCAAGGUCAGGAGCUGCUCCCAAGACCCCGGCCUGGCCACCUCAGCGUUCCCAGGGUCCUCUCUCCAUCGGACUUGGGUCUUGGUCACUGCAGAGUCAGGCCAUGUCCACAAGGAGCCCCUGGAGUUCCCCAGCUGUGAAGAGGAGGCAAAGGGGGCAGCACCAGCAGUGGCGGCAGUGGGUUCUCCCUGGCCUGUGUGGAGAGUUUUCAGGCAGAGAAAGGCCUUCUACACCAACCAGAGGUGCUGUGAUUGGCCAAAACGGAGUGGGCCAGAUGAAAGGAGGAGGGGCUGGGAGCCAGGGACACCCACCAGCAGGUAAGACCCUGGGCCACCCUUAGACCUGGAGAGCCUUCAGCAGACAUGUCCUUCCUGCACAGGUCUGAGUGCUGCCCCUCUGCACUGUGUGCUUCUGGUUAGUAGUCAGCUGGUGAGGCCUGGGGCAGGGGCUCGCAUGUGCUGGGGCAGUGCCAUCCCCAGGAAUGGUGAGUUGGGGUUCUAUGCGCUGACCCUUGAGAGGGUGUCAGGGUACCUCCAAGGUCUCCAGGACAUGCUUUGUCCUGGAGAGACCCCAUGGUCGGCACUGGGGACACUUGGAGACUAUAUAAGCUGAUGAUGCCCGGUGAUAGACUGAUCACACUGAGCAGCAUGGGCUUAUAGUACUGAACAACUAACUCUCCAAAGCUCUGAACCCUAACUGCUAAAUUAAUAAGUGAUGUUAAUGCCAAAUAAUUCCUAGCCCUUGACUAUCUAUUGCUUUGGUCUAACUUGUCCCCCAAACUUCCCAAGUUAGAAACAGAAUCCCAAGGCCACAGGGUUGGGAGAUGGUGCUGUGAGCAGGCAGCUGGGUCAGGAGGGCCCCACCUUCAUGCUGAGUGAGUUUACCAUGUGGAGGCCUUGUGGGAGGGUUUCCCUUGGCUUCCUGCCUUCCAUUGUGAGAUGACACAGCAAGGCCUGACCAGAGGCCAGCACCUGACCUCGAACUUCCCAGCCUCCAGAACCAUGAGCAGAGAAUCUCUGUUCAUUACAAGGACCCUGUCUCAGGCAUCCUAUUGCAGCAGCACAGAAGCGACUCUGUGGAUAACGACUCUUGGACUACUGAGUACUAAGCAGUGCUGAAUAACAGUGUCAUGUGCUAAUUAAUACCAGCCACAGCCGCCCAGCACUGCAAGAUCACCAAGUGCAGCAGUGCCCCUGGGCUGGCCUGGGGCUCCUGAGAACCUGUGAGGCAGCUGGACUCAGAGAAGUCAAGCAUCCUCCCCAAGGUCACACAGCAAAUGAGCAGUUCAAAGGCUUGAGCCAGGCCAGUAUGACUUCCUCCCAGAAGCCCGGGUCCCCUAUGGCUAUGGGCUGUGUCCCCCCAGCUCAGCCUCCUCUCCUUGCUAGCCUCUUUCUGCGUCUGAAUCAUUGUCACUGUGACCCAGCAAGCUGCCACGGUGGGGGUUGGGGAGCCAGAUGGAAAGAAGAGGUACAGCUCUGCCCCUCCUGGCGUCCCCAGGGCCCCUCAAACUGUUUGGGGAGACACGGGCAGCCCCUCUACCCCCACCUGUCACUGGCUGGGGUUUCGUAAGCCUUGGGAAUGAAGAGCCAGCUAAAAUUAACCAUUCUCAAGCUGUCAGCCCUGGAAAUAAA